Molecule: ribosomal RNA, 528 nt
Filed under: uncultured Sphingobacteriales bacterium
Lineage: Bacteria; Pseudomonadati; Bacteroidota; Sphingobacteriia; Sphingobacteriales
Description: bacterial SSU rRNA
Rfam family: Bacterial small subunit ribosomal RNA
Source: RNAcentral
UAGGGGUUUGAUUCUGGCUCAGGAUGAACGCUAGCGGCAGGCUUAACACAUGCAAGUCGAGGGGUAACAGGGAUUGCUUGCAAUCCGCUGACGACCGGCGCACGGGUGCGUAACGCGUAUGCAACCUACCUUUUACAAGGGGAUAGCCCAGAGAAAUUUGGAAUAACACCCUAUACGAUCAUCAAUUGGCAUCAAUUAAUGAAGAAAACUCCGGUGGUAAAAGAUGGGCAUGCGUCCUAUUAGUUAGUUGGUAAGGUAACGGCUUACCAAGACUUCGAUAGGUAGGGGUCCUGAGAGGGAGAUCCCCCACACUGGUACUGAGACACGGACCAGACUCCUACGGGAGGCAGCAGUGAGGAAUAUUGGACAAUGGAGGCAACUCUGAUCCAGCCAUGCCGCGUGCAGGAAGACGGCCCUACGGGUUGUAAACUGCUUUUAUACAGGAAGAACUAUAUCUACGUGUAGAUAUUUGACGGUACUGUACGAAUAAGGAUCGGCUAACUCCGUGCCAGCCGCCGCGGUAAUUCA